This 64-nucleotide microRNA precursor is filed under the name Xenopus laevis (African clawed frog). Its description in RNAcentral is "Xla-Mir-218-P4b_pre stem-loop". It matches the Rfam family "mir-218 microRNA precursor family", at positions 11 to 73 of the family's 82-position model. Rfam says of the family: The extents of the hairpin precursors are not known. In this case the mature sequence in excised from the 5'arm of the hairpin. Lineage: Eukaryota; Metazoa; Chordata; Amphibia; Anura; Pipidae. The record is from RNAcentral. RNAcentral also lists the same sequence under 1 other name.
UUGUGCUUGAUCUAACCAUGUGGUAGAACAAUACAUAUUGAACAUGGUUCUGUCAAGCACCAUG